Molecule: ribosomal RNA, 621 nt
Filed under: uncultured Campylobacterota bacterium
Lineage: Bacteria; Pseudomonadati; Campylobacterota
Description: bacterial SSU rRNA
Rfam family: Bacterial small subunit ribosomal RNA
Source: RNAcentral
UAAUACAUGCAAGUCGAACGAUGAAGUCCUAGCUUGCUAGGAUGGAUUAGUGGCGCACGGGUGAGUAAUAUAUAGUUAAAUCUGCCCUACACAGAGGAACAACAGUUGGAAACGACUGCUAAUACCUCAUACUCCUAUUUGACAUAAGUUAAAUAGGGAAAGUCUCCUGUCGGUGUAGGAUGAGACUAUAUCGUAUCAGCUAGUUGGUAAGGUAAUGGCUUACCAAGGCUAUGACGCGUAACUGGUCUGAGAGGAUGAUCAGUCACAUUGGAACUGAGACACGGUCCAAACUCCUACGGGAGGCAGCAGUAAGGAAUAUUGCGCAAUGGGGGAAACCCUGACGCAGCAACGCCGCGUGGAGGAUGACACUUUUCGGAGCGUAAACUCCUUUUAUCAGGAAAGAAUAAUGACGGUACCUGAUGAAUAAGCACCGGCUAACUCCGUGCCAGCAGCCGCGGUAAUACNGGGGGGUGCAAGCGUUACUCGGAAUCACUGGGCGUAAAGGACGCGUAGGCGGAUUAUCAAGUCUUUUGUGAAAUCUAGUGGCUUAACCACUAAACUGCUUAGGAAACUGAUAGUCUAGAGUAGGGGAGAGGUAGAUGGAAUUCUUGGUGUAGGGGU